Molecule: long non-coding RNA, 694 nt
Organism: Brienomyrus brachyistius
Lineage: Eukaryota; Metazoa; Chordata; Actinopteri; Osteoglossiformes; Mormyridae
Exons: 3
Source: RefSeq, a predicted model, not a curated record
GAGAGGGGAGAUUUUCUUCUGGAAUACAGAGGGCAACUCAUCAGCAGGCAUGAAUGUGAAAGUAGACAGAAAAUAUAUCAUGAUGCCCUCAAAGUGUUCAUGUUUGAAUUUUAUUUCAAUGGAAAAUUGUUUUGCAUUGAUGCUGCCCGAGACGAUGGCUCCCUUGGGAGACUGGUGAAUGAUGACCAUGUUAGCCCAAACAGCAAAAUGAAAAAAAUCACCAUAUCAGGAAAGCCCCAUCUAUGUUUAUUCGCAACCAGAAGCAUUAGUCCUGGAGAAGAAAUUACAUAUAACUACGGUGACUCUGACUGGCCAUGGAGAUGCAAGGUGGCUACUGAAAAAGACCAACUGCACCCAAAAGAGCAGAGCACAUCAAGUGAGGUAGGGAGGACAGGGAAAGUAAUUCAGUUAAACUCUUGUAUGUGUGAUUAUUAGGUUUAAGUAGUUGGAGAUAUAGAUGUGUGUUGAAUGAGGAUAUGCAGAGAGAAUGCUGGUAAUUCUCUGUCCCUGCAAAAGGGAGAUCAGCGUGUGAAAGUGUGCUUGACAAAAGCAUUGUCUGUGAGGAUAUGGUGUUGAUGAGAACUGCAGAGAUUACUGGGAUUUUGUGUUUGAACAUUGUGUGAAACAAUGCUUAGAUAUUAGAAAUGCAGUUCUGUCAAUGAUAGUUUUAUGUAAUUUUUUUUGUACUGAUUUA